RNAcentral lists this ribosomal RNA (253 nucleotides) under uncultured bacterium. RNAcentral's name for it is "partial 16S ribosomal RNA". It matches the Rfam family "Bacterial small subunit ribosomal RNA", at positions 524 to 776 of the family's 1533-position model. The record is from RNAcentral.
UACGUAGGUCGCAAGCGUUGUCCGGAUUUACUGGGCGUAAAGAGCGCGCAGGCGGCUGGUCAAGUCCGAUGUGAAAUCUCCCGGCUCAACUGGGAAACUGCAUCGGAAACUGAUCGGCUUGAAGGUGGGAGAGGGUAGUGGAAUUCCCGGUGUAGUGGUGAAAUGCGUAGAUAUCGGGAGGAAGGCCGGUGGCGAAGGCGGCGCUCUGGAACGUAUCUGACGCUGAGACACGAAAGCGUGGGGAGCAAACAGG